Oncorhynchus keta (chum salmon) is the source of this 1607-nucleotide long non-coding RNA. RefSeq lists it as uncharacterized. The transcript has 6 exons. Lineage: Eukaryota; Metazoa; Chordata; Actinopteri; Salmoniformes; Salmonidae. The record is from RefSeq and is a predicted model, not a curated record.
AUUAACUUAAAUGAACUUACUCUGUGUGAAAUGAUAGGGGUUGACUACUCCUUCCUCUGUCCGCCAUACAUACAGCAUCUGUAAGGUCCCUCAGUCUAGUAGUGAAUGACCACUCCUUCCUCUGUCCCCCAUACAUACAGCAUCUGUAAGGUCCCUCAGUCUAGUAGUGAAUGACCACUCCUUCCUCUGUCCCCCAUACAUACAGCAUCUGUAAGGUCCCUCAGUCUAGUAGUGAAUGACCACUCCUUCCUCUGUCCCCCAUACAUACAUACAGCAUCUGUAAGGUCCCUCAGUCUAGUAGUGAAUGACCACUCCUUCCUCUGUCCCCCAUACAUACAGCAUCUGUAAGGUCCCUCAGUCUAGUAGUGAAUGACCACUCCUUCCUCUGUCCCCCAUACAUACAUACAGCAUCUGUAAGGUCCCUCAGUCUAGUAGUGAAUGACCACUCCUUCCUCUGUCCCCCAUACAUACAGCAUCUGUAAGGUCCCUCAGUCUAGUAGUGAAUGACCACUCCUUCCUCUGUCCCCCAUACAUACAGCAUCUGUAAGGUCCCUCAGUCUAGUAGUGAAUGACCACUCCUUCCUCUGUCCCCCAUACAUACAGCAUCUGUAAGGUCCCUCAGUCUAGUAGUGAAUGACCACUCCUUCCUCUGUCCCCCAUACAUACAGCAUCUGUAAGGUCCCUCAGUCUAGUAGUGAAUGACCACUCCUUCCUCUGUCCCCCAUACAUACAGCAUCUGUAAGGUCCCUCAGUCUAGUAGUGAAUGACCACUCCUUCCUCUGUCCCCCAUACAUACAGCAUCUGUAAGGUCCCUCAGUCUAGUAGUGAAUGACCACUCCUUCCUCUGUCCCCCAUACAUACAGCAUCUGUAAGGUCCCUCAGUCUAGUAGUGAAUGACCACUCCUUCCUCUGUCCCCCAUACAUACAGCAUCUGUAAGGUCCCUCAGUCUAGUAGUGAAUGACCACUCCUUCCUCUGUCCCCCAUACAUACAGCAUCUGUAAGGUCCCUCAGUCUAGUAGUGAAUGACCACUCCUUCCUCUGUCCCCCAUACAUACAGCAUCUGUAAGGUCCCUCAGUCUAGUAGUGAAUGACCACUCCUUCCUCUGUCCCCCAUACAUACAGCAUCUGUAAGGUCCCUCAGUCUAGUAGUGAAUGACCACUCCUUCCUCUGUCCCCCAUACAUACAGCAUCUGUAAGGUCCCUCAGUCUAGUAGUGAAUGACCACUCCUUCCUCUGUCCCCCAUACAUACAGCAUCUGUAAGGUCCCUCAGUCUAGUAGUGAAUGACCACUCCUUCCUCUGUCCCCCAUACAUACAGCAUCUGUAAGGUCCCUCAGUCUAGUAGUGAAUGACCACUCCUUCCUCUGUCCCCCAUACAUACAGCAUCUGUAAGGUCCCUCAGUCUAGUAGUGAAUGACCACUCCUUCCUCUGUCCCCCAUACAUACAGCAUCUGUAAGGUCCCUCAGUCUAGUAGUGAAUGACCACUCCUUCCUCUGUCCCCCAUACAUACAUACAGCAUCUGUAAGGUCCCUCAGUCAAGUAUUGAAUUUCAAGCACAGAUUCAACUACAAAGACCAGGAAGUUUUUCACUGGCCUUCUUAUGAGG